UUGCACGCUGGCGGCAUGCCUUACACCUGCAAGGCGAACGGCAGCACGGGUGCUUGCCCCUGGUGGCGAGUGGCGAACGGGGGAGUAAUACAUCGGAACAUGUCCUGUAGUGGGGGAUAGCCCGGCGAAAGCCGGAUUAAUACCGCAUACGAGCUACGGAUGAAAGCGGGGGACCUUCGGGCCUCGCGCUAUAGGGUUGGCCGAUGGCUGAUUAGCUAGUUGGUGGGGUAAAGGCCUACCAAGGCGACGAUCAGUAGCGGGUCUGAGGGGACGACCAGCCACACUGGGACUGAGACACGGCCCAGACUCCUACGGGAGGCAGCAGUGGGGAAUUUUGGACAAUGGGCGAAAGCCUGAUCCAGCAAUGCCGCGUGUGUGACGAAGGCCUUCGGGUUGUAAAGCACUUUUGUCCGGAAAGAAAUCCUUGGCCCUAAUACGGUCGGGGGGAUGACGGUACCGGAAGAAUAAGCACCGGCUAACUACGUG
Molecule: ribosomal RNA, 486 nt
Filed under: uncultured bacterium
Lineage: Bacteria
Description: partial 16S ribosomal RNA
Rfam family: Bacterial small subunit ribosomal RNA
Source: RNAcentral